Molecule: long non-coding RNA, 715 nt
Filed under: Setaria italica (foxtail millet)
Lineage: Eukaryota; Viridiplantae; Streptophyta; Magnoliopsida; Poales; Poaceae
Description: long non-coding RNA (SITA_LNC002583)
Source: RNAcentral
CAACAUUCACUUAUUUAAAAUUUUCGCUUAUCUUGAUCACGUAUUUAAAGCACGUCCAGGCUGUGGUACAGUACAGUAGCAGGUCUAUUCUGCCAUCUAUAAAAAGAGCAUGUGAAGGCAGAUAUGCCAGUGCCAUAGCUGAGAGAUGGACGAACGAACUACUCACAUAGGCCACUGGUCCCUCCAGUGGAUUUGAUGUGACACCUAAGACUCAGAGACAUCAGGAGAUCUCCCACUAGCUGCAAAGGGAUGUAUGGUACAGGAUAGCAUCCUUUGUGCAGUGCUUCGAUUCAAGCCAGCCACACGCGAGCCUUGCUACAUGGAACUGAGGACUGAGCACUUGCUUCCUGCAUCGUUGCGGGUAUCACUUAUCAGUCCAGUCCUGGUAUGCAGUUCCAGCCUUGCUUGUUUUGUCAUUGGAGCAAGUCUAUGGCUAAAGUUAAGUUGAACAAAGCACGGUGGAUGUCUUAUGGUUAACCAAUCCUUAAAUCUGGCAGCAUGGGGAACACCAAAUUGACACAUGAUUUGAACACAACACAGUUUCAUCAGUCUAGGUGCCCUUAGUUGUCAAUGUACUGAAUAUCUACACUAGCCAGCAAAAAUGAAGGACAGAGGUUGGACAUACUCUGGUUGAACAAGUCCAACCAGUUGGAGGAUCCAAGACGUUCGUCUCUCAGCGUUGGAAAGAAUUUUGAAUUUUAUGUGUCACGUUUUC